AGACACUCAGCCUGAGGAGGGGGUGGAGCUGGACCAUCGGCAGAACACACAGGAUGAAGACCCCCAGGGAUUGACAUAUGCCCAGGAGACUGCUGCAUCUGGCGCCCCCCAGGAUGUGACCUACGCCCAGCUGAACCGCUUGACCCUCCGACGAGAGACAAGUGCAUCCCC
Neomonachus schauinslandi (Hawaiian monk seal) is the source of this 171-nucleotide long non-coding RNA. RefSeq lists it as uncharacterized. The record is from RefSeq and is a predicted model, not a curated record. NCBI's taxonomy places the organism in Eukaryota, Metazoa, Chordata, Mammalia, Carnivora, Phocidae. The transcript has 3 exons.